CCCCGUGCACGAUGCAGCGCAGGAAUGUGAAAGGCUCCCGCCCGCCGCCAUUUUCUUUCUUUCUUGGCAGGCAGCGGUGGCGGAGCGAGUAUGGCGGACUAUUCCACGGUGCCACCUCCUGCUUCGGGAGCGCCCGGAGGAGGCGGCGGUGGAGGUGGAGGAGUGAACGAUGCUUUUAAAGACGCGCUGCAGAGAGCUAGGCAGAUUGCAGCAAAGAUUGGAGGAGAUGCUGGUACGUCCAUGAAUUCCAAUGACUAUGGUUAUGGAGGACAAAAAAGACCUCUUGAGGAUGGAGAUGGCUCUUGGACAAGUCCGAGCAGUACAACACACUGGGAGGGAAUGCCCUCUCCUUUUAAAGAUCAACCAGAUGCUAAGAAAGUUGCUCCUCAGAAUGACUCUUUUGGAAAUCAGCUACCACCAAUGCAUCAACAACAAAGGUCUGUGAUGACAGAGGAGUACAAAGUUCCAGAUGGAAUGGUUGGAUUCAUCAUCGGCAGAGGAGGAGAGCAGAUCUCACGCAUACAGCAAGAGUCAGGAUGUAAAAUACAGAUUGCACCUGAUAGUGGGGGCCUGCCUGAAAGGUCAUGCAUGUUAACUGGAACCCCAGAAUCUGUUCAAUCAGCGAAGAGAUUACUUGAUCAAAUAGUUGAAAAGGGAAGACCUGCACCUGGCUUUCAUCAUGGGGAUGGACCUGGAAACGCAGUCCAAGAAAUUAUGAUUCCAGCAAGUAAAGCAGGAUUAGUUAUCGGUAAAGGUGGAGAGACAAUUAAGCAAUUACAGGAGCGAGCAGGUGUCAAAAUGGUCAUGAUUCAAGAUGGUCCACAGAACACUGGUGCUGACAAACCCCUUAGAAUAACUGGAGACCCUUAUAAAGUUCAGCAAGCCAAGGAAAUGGUGCUGGAGUUAAUUCGUGAUCAAGGUGGCUUUAGAGAGGUGCGCAACGAAUAUGGGUCAAGAAUAGGAGGAAAUGAAGGGAUAGACGUUCCAAUACCACGGUUUGCUGUAGGUAUUGUAAUUGGAAGAAAUGGGGAAAUGAUCAAAAAGAUUCAGAAUGAUGCUGGUGUUAGGAUCCAAUUUAAGCCAGAUGAUGGAACAACUCCAGAUAGGAUAGCCCAAAUCACAGGGCCUCCUGAUAGAUGUCAACACGCUGCAGAAAUCAUUACAGAUCUUCUUCGAAGUGUUCAGGCUGGUAACCCUGGUGGACCAGGAGGACCCGGUGGUCGAGGAAGGGGUAGAGGUCAAGGCAACUGGAACAUGGGGCCCCCUGGUGGAUUACAGGAAUUCAAUUUUAUUGUUCCCACUGGCAAAACUGGAUUAAUCAUUGGCAAAGGUGGUGAAACUAUUAAAAGCAUAAGCCAACAGUCUGGUGCUAGAAUAGAGCUUCAAAGAAAUCCUCCACCUAAUGCAGACCCAAACAUGAAGAUGUUUACUAUCCGUGGAACACCCCAGCAAAUAGAUUACGCUCGACAACUUAUAGAAGAAAAGAUUGGAGGUCCGGUAAAUCCAUUGGGUCCGCCUGUUCCCCAUGGACCCCAUGGUGUUGUUCCUGGCCCACACGGACCUCCUGGGCCACCAGGCCCUGGUGCUCCCAUGGGACCAUAUAACCCAGCUCCUUAUAAUCCAGGGCCUCCUGGCCCAGCACCUCAUGGUCCUCCAGCUCCGUAUGCUCCACAAGGAUGGGGAAAUGCUUAUCCACACUGGCAGCCACCAAAUCCACCAGAUCCAGGUAAGCCAGGAACAGAUCCUAAUUCAGCAGCAUGGGCAGCUUACUAUGCUCACUACUAUCAGCAGCAAGCACAGCCACCACCUGCAGCCCCUCCUGGUGGACCAGCUACAACCCAAACCAAUGGACAAGGAGAUCAGCCAAACCCAGCACCAGCAGGGCAGGUUGACUAUACAAAGGCAUGGGAGGAAUACUACAAAAAAAUGGGUCAAGCAGUUCCUGCACCUGCUGGAGCUCCACCUGGUGGUCAGCCAGAUUACAGCGCAGCAUGGGCCGAGUACUACAGGCAGCAGGCAGCUUAUUAUGCCCAGACAAGUCCCCAGGGAAUGCCACAGCAUCCUCCAGCACCACAGUGCCUUCCCAGACCUUCCACCUUAGGUUCUGCUGCAAAAAAGCAACAGGUAAGCACAACCUAAGGAAGUAUAUAAAUUUAAAUAUUUCAGUACAUUAAUGUUGUCCCUGUGAGAUCUUUGUGGUUGUGUAUUGAAAAGCAAUCUUCUGCUUUCCCAAAUGCAUUGUUACUCACGGUUCCAUUUCAGUGGAAAGUCUUUUUUUAAGUUUUUAAACAACUGUUUAUAUUUCUAGGUAAAUAUGUAUAUUUUUUUUGUAAGAAAAGUUGAGUGGACUGCAGUAAUUGAAGUGGAGCAGAAUAAGUAGUCAUUCUUGUUCUUUUUCUUCCAGUAGCUACUUGUUGCAAUUAAAGAAUCAAAACCUUUAAAAUAUGCAGGAAUUACUUGUGAUAGAAAUGUCAACAGCCUUCACAAAUGUUUUUUACAGUAGGGCACUGUUCUCACUCAAUCCAUAAGACGUAAAUACAAAGAAUAUAACUUCGUGUUGCCGCUGAACUUGAUGACUUGUCUUAGAGUUACAGUGUGAUAGUGGCAUUUUUAGAUAACUUAGUUUGCUAAUUCAUACUUGACAAGGUAGGAAAAUAGAAUCUGGAGUUUCACAGAUUAGUAUGUUUUACUUGGAAAAGCACCAAUUAAAUGUUAAUGAUACAGCAAAUGAUAUUUUCUCCGUAUAUCAGUCAGUGUAUCUUGUUCCUUGAUACUUAAACUGAAUUGCUGUAUAUUUUGAUAGUUGCAAAUGUUUGUAUGUCUUAUAGAUGGUCUGGUACAGGUUUUCUUUUUUAUUUUUUUUAAGCUUAAAGUAAAGCAGCAUCUGUUUGUUUUUUGUUGUUGAUGAUUCUGUUUCUGAAAUGUGCUGCUCCUCUUUCAAAAGUCCUGCUUAUCUGUACAUUGAAGAAAAAUAUUCAAAAAUACUGCCUUCAUUUUCACACACAGUGCUGAAGAUGCUGCAAGCACCAAAUCAUAGCUCAUAGAAUCAGGUCCUGAGAUAGUUACUACCAGUAAAGAGGAAUCCUUUGAGUGUAUGCCAUUGGUGAGCCGAUGAGCAUGGACCGUAGAAGGGCUCCAUGUAGAAGGUAAAAUUGGCAAAAGCAUAACAGAUUUGAAAUGUAUCCCAUGGUGUAGGGUAUGAUUUUUGUUUUGAUCACUUUUCAUUCUUUAAAGUAUUAUUUGUUUGACCAUAAUUGUUCCAUGAUCUGUUUUUUUGUUGGUUUUUUUUUUUUUUUUAAUGUGUGAUUUAAUAAUAUUAAGCAGUUUUAAUUUAUAUUCUUCUAUAUGGUCAAGCUUAGAUAUCUUGACUUUUUGAACUAAAUCAAUAGUUGUCGUUUAGUUUCUCAAGCUACUUAAUAUUUGAUUAUCUGUAGUGUAAUAUGCAAUUUGACUUCAUUUUUGACACAAGUUAGGUGUGUACUGUUUGGAUUUUGAUACUGUGAAUUUAGUGGUGGGGUGAGUCAUUUCUUCACUUCCUUUUACGUGGUACUUUUUUUCUUAACAACUGUUGUUCCUAAAAUAUUAUUAACAAUAUUGCAGUAAGUUUUAGCCAGUGGGAGGAAAUAAAGAAGAAAGCCAGUUUAUUGGAAUGUUGCUAGGGUGUGGAAGGUUUCUUACCUCAGCAUAUAGCACUUGAGGUGUAUUGACUUUGUGACUGCAGAGCUUACAGGCAUGCUGGUUUGUACUAAAUGUAGCGGUUAUCUUUCAGCUCUCCAAAAUUGUAGUCUUAGAAUUUAAAAAAAAAAAAAAAAGAAAAAAACAAAAAACAUUAUCAGAGUUACUCUGAUGGCAGAAGAUAAUUAGACUUUCUUAUCCAUAAGCUAUGUUUAUAUGUUUCUUGCUUUUUUUUUCCGCCCUUGGAGUCUUAACAAAUUAGGUAGUCAAAAGAAUAUGAGAAGUCACGUAAGAGAAGCAUAAUGUUUGAAGUAGGGGAUAGAAUUUCAUACACCUUUCUGCAGCCUAGACUCUAGUAGGCCAUGAAGUAAAAUGUCAGGUGAAUAAUCUUCAGUCUAGCAUUAUCACAGGUCAUGUGUUCCAUUCAAGUUGAGCAGACAGAAAGGAUCAUUAUUCACUUGCACAGCUUAUCUUGACAUGUUUCUCAUUUUACCAGUAGUGUUUUAUUGUAUCAGAUGAUAGAAAAUUUUUCUCCCCUGUUCUCUUCCAAAGUAAUUUUUAAGUUUUUCAUUGCAUGCUAAGGGCUCUUAUUUUACUUUUGUCUGGAAGUGGGGGGAGGAAGGGAGGACCGGGCCUUUCAGAAAGCCUGCAGUUGACAGGAUUCCUUCUUCCCUAGUAAUAGCUUAUAAAACUCGUAUGUAUGCACAAAUAUUUCUCUUGCGUGCAUGUGAAAUGCAUUUUCGUCCUGAGAAAAGUGUUCUCUGCAGAAACUACCCGUGUGUAAAAAGAAGAUUGGCUUUAAAAGGCAACUGUGAUGGGAACAGUGUCUUAGGGAGAUGCAGCUUGGACUUGAGACAUUUAAUCAUCACUGAAGAAAGGGAACUGAGAUAUUUCAAUAUUUCUUAUCUCCAGUAAACAUUAUCUGCUAAGAGAAACCCAUUGUUUGCAAACUACAAAGAAGAGCAAAAUGAAUGAACCAUCUUCAGAACAUGUCAUGGAGUACCUCAGUUGUUAACGGUGGAAAUUGACUGGGGACUGUCAAGAGUAUUAAUGCUCCAGCUAUCUCUAUACUGCAAGCAAGCCUGGUAUGUUGGGUAGACAUCUGAGGGAAUUACAGAGGUCUCAUAAGGGGGGGAAAAAAAGCAAGAAAGAAUUGAAGGAGUUGAACUACUGAACUCUUCCGUAAAGGAAACUUUUUACACCAGGUUUUGACAACCACUGAUAGCAGAUAUAACCGCAAAAUAGAAAAGUACCACAUGGGUGAUUUGCUUUUCUUUUGAAUUUGUAAAUUCCAUUGUCACGCUUUUAUAUUACUUGGUUACUAAAUGUAGGUAUAUAAGGGUGGGAGAUGUGAAGAAAACUUCAAUUGGAAUGGCUAUGGUGGUUUCACAAAGUUCGCUCUCCUUCAUUUUCUUUUCUCUUUCACUUAUAUCCCUACUCCAAAAGAAAACAAAAAUGAGCAUUAUUCACAUAAUGCCAAGGUUAUCGUUAGGGAAUAACCAUUCCAUAAGGUGAUUUUUUUCAAGGGCACAGGGAGGACAAGAGGUGGGGGUAAGGGGGUAUUAACUUCAGUUUUGGCAUCUGUCUGAGCCUCAAACCUUCCCAGUUUGGACCAAUUGGGAAUUUCAGAAGUUCAGCUUUCUGGAGGUUCUGUGUUGUGCUGGUUUUUGGUUUAUUUUGUUUUUCCAUCAAGUAGCAAAUUGCUUUUGAAAUAUAGGCAAUAUAAUGAUCUUGUUUGUUUAAGAAUGGUAAUUUAUAUUUACACUGUUCUUUUAAAGUUAAAAUUAGCAAAUUCAUAGAAAUAAUAUGUUUAAAGUUCUCAAGAAAUAUGAAAAAACAUGACUCCUUAAACUUCUUUGUAUGUGAAUGAACAAAGUCACAAUGUUUGAGAUGGUAUAGAGGAAGGAUACUUAAAUACAGAACUUCAAAAUAAAGCUUUUGCAAAUAGAGAAUAGUAAAAUAGGAAAUACAGUACUCAAGUAUCUGGUGUUAUCUUAUCCUAGUGCCAAAUGCACAAUUCCCUUAGUAUGAUUAAAGAGCAAAUUAUAGUGAGGUCUGUUUAUAGCUGAACUAAAAUAAGUCUGGCUCUUGAUAAUGGAAAUAGUUUUGCAAAUAAUAUAAAACAAGUUGUGAGCAACAA
Molecule: non-coding RNA, 5815 nt
Organism: Coturnix japonica (Japanese quail)
Lineage: Eukaryota; Metazoa; Chordata; Aves; Galliformes; Phasianidae
Source: RefSeq, a predicted model, not a curated record